UAGGGAAUCUUCGGCAAUGGACGAAAGUCUGACCGAGCAACGCCGCGUGAGUGAAGAAGGUUUUCGGAUCGUAAAACUCUGUUGUUAGAGAAGAACGUUGCAUAGAGUGGAAAAUUAUGCAAGUGACGGUAUCUAACCAGAAAGGGACGGCUAACUACGUGCCAGCAGCCGCGGUAAUACGUAGGUCCCGAGCGUUGUCCGGAUUUAUUGGGCGUAAAGCGAGCGCAGGUGGUUUAAUAAGUCUGAUGUAAAAAGGCAGUGGCUCAACCAUUGUGUGCAUUGGAAACUGUUAGACUUGAGUGCAGUAGAGGAGAGUGGAAUUCCAUGUGUAGCGGUGAAAUGCGUAGAUAUAUGGAGGAACACCGGUGGCGAAAAGCGGCUCUCUGGACUGUCACUGACACUGAGGCUCGAAAGCGUGGGUAGCAAACAGGAUUAGAUACCCUGGUAGUCCACGCCGUAAACGAUGAGUGCUAG
RNAcentral lists this ribosomal RNA (474 nucleotides) under uncultured bacterium. RNAcentral's name for it is "partial 16S ribosomal RNA". It matches the Rfam family "Bacterial small subunit ribosomal RNA", at positions 355 to 819 of the family's 1533-position model. The record is from RNAcentral.